UACGUAGGAGGCAAACGUUAUCCGGAUUUACUGGGCGUAAAGCGCGUGUAAGCGGUUUGAUAAGUUGGACGUGAAAGCUCCCGGCUCAACUGGGAGAGGUCGUUCAAUACUGUCAAGCUAGAGGAUGGUAGAGGGAGGUGGAAUUCCGGGUGUAGUGGUGAAAUGCGCAGAUAUCCGGAGGAACACCAGUGGCGAAGGCGGCCUCCUGGACCACUCCUGACGCUCAGACGCGAAAGCUAGGGUAGCGAACGGGAUUAGAUACCCGUGUAGUCCCUGAG
This 278-nucleotide ribosomal RNA is filed under the name uncultured prokaryote. Its description in RNAcentral is "partial 16S ribosomal RNA". It matches the Rfam family "Bacterial small subunit ribosomal RNA", at positions 524 to 801 of the family's 1533-position model. The record is from RNAcentral.